RNAcentral lists this ribosomal RNA (253 nucleotides) under uncultured bacterium. RNAcentral describes it as "partial 16S ribosomal RNA". It matches the Rfam family "Bacterial small subunit ribosomal RNA", at positions 524 to 776 of the family's 1533-position model. The record is from RNAcentral.
UACGUAGGUGGCAAGCGUUAUCCGGAUUUACUGGGUGUAAAGGGCGAGUAGGCGGGAUUGCAAGUCAGAUGUGAAAACUAUGGGCUCAACCGAUAGAGUGCAUUUGAAUCUGCAGUUCUUGAGUGAUGGAGAGGCAGGCGGAAUUCCCGGUGUAGCGGUGGAAUGCGUAGAUAUCGGGAGGAACACCAGUGGCGAAGGCGGCCUGCUGGACAUUAACUGACGCUGAGGCGCGAAAGCGUGGGGAGCAAACAGG